ACAAGGCAUAGAUCGUGUCAUCCUUGUCCAGUUCAAUAUUGGGCCCGUAGACAUUUAUCCUGUUAUGCAGGAUGGGCAAAUUCCAUCUAGGUCACUCAUGUCCCUCAACAUAUGUCAUCCUUGUCCAGUUCAAUAUUGGGCCCGUAGACAUUUAUCCUGUUAUGCAGGAUGGGCAAAUUCCAUCUAGGUCACUCAUGUCCCUCAACAUGCUUCGUG
This 216-nucleotide long non-coding RNA is filed under the name Lathyrus oleraceus (garden pea). RNAcentral's name for it is "Pisum sativum (pea) long non-coding RNA (PSAT_LNC028292)". The record is from RNAcentral. Lineage: Eukaryota; Viridiplantae; Streptophyta; Magnoliopsida; Fabales; Fabaceae.